This 252-nucleotide ribosomal RNA is filed under the name uncultured Bacteroidales bacterium. RNAcentral's name for it is "partial 16S ribosomal RNA". It matches the Rfam family "Bacterial small subunit ribosomal RNA", at positions 524 to 776 of the family's 1533-position model. The record is from RNAcentral. Lineage: Bacteria; Pseudomonadati; Bacteroidota; Bacteroidia; Bacteroidales.
UACGGAGGAUGCGAGCGUUAUCCGGAUUUAUUGGGUUUAAAGGGUGCGCAGGCGGUCUGUUAAGUCAGCGGUCAAAGCCCGGGGCUCAACCCCGGCCCGCCGUUGAAACUGGCAGUCUCGAGUUGGAGAGAAGUAUGCGGAAUGCGCGGUGUAGCGGUGAAAUGCAUAGAUAUCGCGCAGAACUCCGAUUGCGAAGGCAGCUUACCAGUCUGCGACUGACGCUCAGGCACGAAAGUGUGGGUAUCGAACAGG